This 310-nucleotide unclassified non-coding RNA is filed under the name plant metagenome. Its description in RNAcentral is "partial contains 5.8S ribosomal RNA, internal transcribed spacer 2, and large subunit ribosomal RNA". The stretch from base 1 to 105 matches the Rfam family "5.8S ribosomal RNA", at positions 50 to 154 of the family's 154-position model. The record is from RNAcentral.
GAAAUGCGAUAAGUAGUGUGAAUUGCAGAAUUCAGUGAAUCAUCGAAUCUUUGAACGCACAUUGCGCCCCUUGGUAUUCCAUGGGGCAUGCCUGUUCGAGCGUCAUUUGUACCCUCAAGCUCUGCUUGGUGUUGGGUGUUUGUCCCGUCUCCGCGCGUGGACUCGCCCCAAAGUGAUUGGCAGCCGGCGUACUGGUCCCCGGAGCGCAGCACAUGUCGCGCAAACGAGUGCCUUGGUACGGCGGCGUCCAUAAGCCCCUCUCUCACGCUCUUGACCUCGGAUCAGGUAGGGAUACCCGCUGAACUUAAGC